GAUGAACGCUAGCUACAGGCUUAACACAUGCAAGUCGAGGGGCAGCAUUUUUAUAGCAAUAUAAAAGAUAGCGACCGGCGGACGGGUGAGUAACGCGUGGGUAACCUGCCUCACACUGGGGGAUAACAGUCAGAAAUGACUGCUAAUACCGCAUAAGCGCACGAGACCGCAUGGUUUUGUGUGAAAAACUCCGGUGGUGUGAGAUGGACCCGCGUUGGAUUAGCCAGUUGGCGGGGUAACGGCCUACCAAAGCGACGAUCCAUAGCCGGCCUGAGAGGGUGAACGGCCACAUUGGGACUGAGACACGGCCCAGACUCCUACGGGA
This 325-nucleotide ribosomal RNA is filed under the name uncultured bacterium. RNAcentral describes it as "bacterial SSU rRNA". It matches the Rfam family "Bacterial small subunit ribosomal RNA", at positions 28 to 346 of the family's 1533-position model. The record is from RNAcentral.